UCCAAACGACUCUCGGCAACGGAUAUCUCGGCUCUCGCAUCGAUGAAGAACGUAGCGAAAUGCGAUACUUGGUGUGAAUUGCAGAAUCCCGUGAACCAUCGAGUCUUUGAACGCAAGUUGCGCCCGAAGCCGUCAGGCCAAGGGCACGUCUGCCUGGGCGUCAC
This 164-nucleotide ribosomal RNA is filed under the name Neonauclea sp. 4. Its description in RNAcentral is "5.8S ribosomal RNA". It matches the Rfam family "5.8S ribosomal RNA". Rfam says of the family: 5.8S ribosomal RNA (5.8S rRNA) is a component of the large subunit of the eukaryotic ribosome. It is transcribed by RNA polymerase I as part of the 45S precursor that also contains 18S and 28S rRNA. Functionally, it is thought that 5.8S rRNA may be involved in ribosome translocation. Lineage: Eukaryota; Viridiplantae; Streptophyta; Magnoliopsida; Gentianales; Rubiaceae. The record is from RNAcentral.